This is a long non-coding RNA of Hibiscus syriacus, 323 nucleotides long. RefSeq lists it as uncharacterized. The record is from RefSeq and is a predicted model, not a curated record. NCBI's taxonomy places the organism in Eukaryota, Viridiplantae, Streptophyta, Magnoliopsida, Malvales, Malvaceae. The transcript is spliced from 3 exons.
AACUGCUGAAAACCAAAUGCAGAAACCGUCAACAUUUUGGACAGCUUGUCCGUACUGUCACAGGUUGUUUGAGUAUCCAGGGUUUUACGAAGGUUGUUGUUUAAGGUGUCAGAAUUGCGAGAGGUCUUUUCAUGCAUUUUCGAUUCCGACACUACCACCGCUGUGCUGAAAAAAAAAUUAGCUAACCCUAUUCUCAUAUGUGAUAGAAGUGAGGGAGGUAGGAUAGUAGGCUGUCCGAACGUCACGUUGAGAGUAACUUCCGUUGGGGUAAAUCUAGUUGGAUGCCUUCUAUGAUUCCCGGAGGCCAGUCGGAGAGUGAAAGA